Molecule: long non-coding RNA, 4375 nt
Organism: Lagopus muta (rock ptarmigan)
Lineage: Eukaryota; Metazoa; Chordata; Aves; Galliformes; Phasianidae
Exons: 2
Source: RefSeq, a predicted model, not a curated record
GCUGGGAGGCCGUGCCGCUCCCAUGUCACCGUCGUGCUCAGCCUCCUCGAGCUCCGCUGGGAGCCGGAGCCGCUGGGCCGCGCCUGGAGAAGCCCUAGCGCCCGCCGGCGGCUGGGAACGUAGCGGGCGCGUCACGGCUGCCGCUCUCGGAGAGCGGCUGUGCCCGGCCCGCCAGGGGGAGGCGCAGCCGCCCCGCCCGAGGGUAACUGAAACAACUAGGUUCCCUUGGAGGCCUGUUUCCAGCUUCUGUCCUCACAGACGACAAACAUGCUAGAGGUAAAUAUGGGAAACACCUGUUUAAUGGAUUGGAUUACAGCCAGUGGUUAUUGAAUGAUAAUUUACUGUUAUAUCUAAUUAACAGACAAUUUGUGAGCAAAUCAACACAAUAAAACUUUCCUGAAGAAUUUAAACAACCUAAUGUCCACCUUUUACAGCAUCUCUCAUUGGCUCAAUGUGAAUUUUUGUCUCAGCAAUUUGUUUAGGAUUUGAAAGCUAUUAAGAUCUAUCUUUCAUGUGACCUGAUGUUCACUCUUAGAUGGAGCUGCUAGACAGCUUAAUUAGUUCAGCUAAUGAUUGCGUUCUGAAACCUAAUGCCAAUUUGUAUUUAAACAGCAGCUCAGUGUGUUUCUCUAAAGCAACGCUUAAGUUUUUAAAUACUAGUAGUUAAUAAGCAUUUGGAGCUGAAGAUUACAGCUGUAAAUACAGGGUAAAGUGCAAACAGGGACGCUGUUGUCGAAAACAAACCCACUGCAAAUUAGGCCAGUCAGUACUAGCAGAAAACCCAUCUUGUUUGCUCUGUUAAUCUUCUGGUUUUAUUCUACAAUUGUUUACUUUGUGUGCUUUUUUUUUCCCACCAGAAAACCCAGUUGUUAUCUUAGAGGGUCCCUCUUCUGCAGCUCAUAGCUGCAGUCAUUACCCAUGGAGUGACUCCUAUAUUCCUUUCAGGACUCAAGUGGCACCUUAUGAGAUUUCCACUGUAGGAGCCUUAGUAAUGUUUUCCUUGCAGCCUAUUGUUUACAGCUGGAACACCUGGCAUUGAGAAUCUCUACGUUGCACAGUGCUUCCUGCCCCAUUAAUUACUCUUCUCUGUUCAACUUUGGUAAUGUGCUCAACACUAGAGAUUAGAAAUUCACUGGCUUAGUUUUCUCCUGUCCAUAAUUCAAAGGGAAUUUGGCUCUAACACUUACAUAGAUAGCUAUAACAAUACACAGUUGCAUAUUUUACUUAAGACCAUCAGUGCACUGCCAUCUUGUGACAAUUUAUCUGUUGAAAAUUGAAUGCUUGGUUUUUCUUUUUCUUUUUUUUUACUAGGUGCAGGGAUUUCUUAGGUAUGAAGUUGUUUUUUUUGUUUUUCAUACUGAUGAAGGCUUGAAAGAAAAAAACCAUGGAAACUAUUUGGGUUGCAUUUAAGUGUACAAAGUGUACAAAAAUGACAUGUAGGAGCAAUGAAAAUAAACCUUUGUUACACUGGAAAUUGCUAGACAACUUCAAAAUGAAGAUGAGCUACAAAUCAUUAAAUUACUAAUUUGCAGAUUGUUUUGAAUUACUUUUUAACACCCGUGUUGUGAAAUGCUUUUUGCUGAACUGCAGUGUCUGUACAAGGUUAGAAAAGGUCACCUCUAAGAUGUAUGAAGGAAAGCAGUGAGUGGUGGUGGGUUUGUGGAUUUCCUUGUUACUAUUGGUAGCAAUACUUACAGGCACUACAGAGUAGUUAUUAGUUAAAACAUAGGUUUAGUACUUUAUUAGAAUGCAAUUUUGUCAGCAUUACAAAAGAAAAACCACUAUACAGACAGGAAUGCUGUAAGCAACCCCUCACAGAACACGGCAGUUGCUUUAACACCAUGCAUGCUUUGGCUUGGCACUAGCAGCACUGCAGCAAAAUGUAGCUUUAGCUUCAUGUGAUGGUUUUGUUGGGUAGACCUCACUUUCUUCAGAAGCACAUUUUUACUGAUUAAGACUUCCUCUACAAAGCUUGAAGUCUUACUUUAGAUCUGAUCAACAGGACUAAGAAACUUAGAGGGAAGAUGUGACAAUGCAACUGCCUUGCUAUCAACUUCAGUUUGAAAAGCUCAGUACCUUUUUGCUCCCAAAUACACCCACUUGUAGUUAUGGAAAAUGAAGCUCUAAACACCAUUCUGGAGAACAGAGUAAGAGGAGGCCUAUAAAAGAGACCACAGGACACCCACCACCAAUUUGUAUUUAUUGGAUAAUCAGGUAUCAAGAUGACACAUGCAGCUGUGUGAACUUUUGUUACUGUGGUGUACUGUGCAAAUGCAUUGCAGCUUCAGUGAUGACACAGGCCAUAAUAAAUCAUCAUACAAUGCCUAGGAGCUGACCAAGUAUGCAAGAAGGUAAAAAACCAUCUGACUGGUGAAAACUCUAUGAGAACAACAAUUUCAUAGGGAUUUCUCCACAGACACCCUUUAUGGUGGACUAUGUGCUUCUCCCUUCCCCUAAGUGCUAACACUCAAACUUCUGCUUCUAACAGGCACUAAGAGCUGCAAAGCAAGAGAACAACUGUUAAAAGGGAAGGUGUAACUUGUGGCAAAACAGAUCAAUGUAACAUGAAGGGGGUUUCCCAGGUAAAGAUUGUGUGAAUGAGAAUUUAUCAUCUCAUCUAAAAGAAAACAGUGACAGCACCAUUAUAGGAUUUCACUUGCAUCAUGCACUCUGCUUGGAAAAUGAAUCGAAACACUAAAGUUACAGGGGGUGAAUGUACUGCUUCAUUAUGUUCUCAGCAAGUUAUCCCCUUUCUCCAGUGUGGCUGAGUUACCGAAACGAGAUCAGCUGACAGAACUCUUUACAGGCAUUAAGUUUUGUGUUUGGCUUCACCACCUCCUCCCCCUCCCCCACCCAAGUAAGAAGAUUUCAUGUACAAUCAUCACAACUCAAAGAAUGCAUUCUUCCUCCCAACAUGCGACAUGAUAUUAAGUGCAACUUCUCUCAUUUCCUAUACACUUUUCAUCACUUGAAGUAUUAGAGAAAGCAAAUUAAAUUCAGCUUUCAUUGUAAAUGACAGAGAAUAGAGCCUGAGCAGCCAGUACCCCAACAUUAACUUGUCUUUACCACUACUUGCUACAAGUAAGUCAAUCCACUGUACUUCAAACACACAAGUGUGCAUUUUUUCCUCCCACAACAUUUACCAACAAGUCAUAUUGUCUAUCACAUUAUUGCACCUUGCUGCAGAAUGGGCUUGCUGAGGCAAGCUGGGCCUGUAAUUGACAACCUGAUUUGUUUUCUUAUGAAACUGCAACAUACCUGAAUAACAGCAUUAGUUUGUUUUCAAAAGAAGGUAACAGAGGGACAUAAAACCUACUUCUCAUAAAUUAAAAAAUACACAUUAAGGAGCAGUAAUUGAUCACUGUAGUUUUUGUUCAGAAUUGCUUGUUUUCAGUGUUAGGUUGACUCAAGAUGAUAGCUUCUGUGCUGAACUCAUCAGCCAACAUUGUGAUUAUCUUAAUUCUUAAGAAUGUACCAUGAAAAGAAAAAGUUGCAGAAUUUUAACAGUAAAACAAUGAGCUUUCAAGACUUCACUCCAAUAGCUUUGUUUUUGCACGCCACCACUCACCCCUUAAGAAGACUCCCAUCACCAGUGGAUCAAAACAACAUACACUUCCAUGCAAAUGAUGUAAAGUAAAUAUGAAACUAUUGAAAGAGUGUAAAUAUCAAGCAGAGAGAUGAUUAUUAUUCCCUUCAGAAGUAUUUUUUUGUAGUUAUGUGAUCUGAAUGCCGACUUGUCAACUGUAAGGAAAAACGUCCAUUAACUAAACCUGAAGUUCCAGGAAAAAAGGCAAAUUCCUAAUCAAGUGAUUAAAUCAUUCUGUUGGAAAGAGGAAAGUAAAGCAGAUUUUGCACAUCUUCAUUUUCUGCUUCCAUUGCAGCCCACUGGAUACCUAUGCAAAUAUUUCAAAGUUCAACUUGACAUACAAAAAAAAAAAGUCAUUUGAAAUCCUUAAAUAGUGUUUUUGGAUUAUAAUAAAGGUUAAACGCAUGAGUCUACUGGAACCAGGCACAGACAUUUCAAGUUUAGAAUCAAUUAUGUAAGCAAGCAAUAGGUUGAAACAGACACCUUCCCUCAAACACAUUCCCAACUAGAGCUUUCCCAAGCUCGUGACUGUUGUUUGAAGAUGCAACCAUCAGCAAUAUGGUUCUGGUACAGCAGGAAGUUUACUUUCCAUUAAAUCUUUCUUCGUUGACACUAAAAGCUCUUUAUAGGUAAGAAGGAUAAAGCUACCGAUGAACUGUUGUAAGUGGUAAGUUGCAUUAAAGGGAAAGGAGUAGGGUUGUUUUUUUUUUUUAAGUCAAUAAAAAAACCCAGCCAGAUAGCUGUUUUAAAGCAAUUGCAUCCAAAAGCAAAAAAAUCAGCUUUUUUUUU